AUAUCACUAAGCGGAGGAAAAGAAAUUAACUAAGAUUGCCUCAGUAACGGCGAGUGAGGCGGCAAGAGCCCAAAAUGUAAAUCUUCACGCUGCGCGUGACGAAUUGUAAUCUAAAGAUGGUCCGCUCAACAGGUGGUGGCGCAGAAGUGCCUUCGAACGGGCCGCCAGAGAGGGUGCCAGCCCCGUAUGUGGUGCCACCGCCUAACGAGUGGGUGUUCAACGAGUCGGGUUGUUUUGUAUUGCAGCCCUAAGUGGGAGAUAGACUUCUUCUAAGGCUAAAUAUAUAUGGGAGACCGAUAGCGCACAAGUA
This 310-nucleotide ribosomal RNA is filed under the name uncultured eukaryote. Its description in RNAcentral is "partial large subunit ribosomal RNA". It matches the Rfam family "Eukaryotic large subunit ribosomal RNA", at positions 40 to 350 of the family's 3401-position model. The record is from RNAcentral.